GGUAACAGGAAGAAGCUUGCUUCUUUGCUGACGAGUGGCGGACGGGUGAGUAAUGUCUGGGAAACUGCCUGAUGGAGGGGGAUAACUACUGGAAACGGUAGCUAAUACCGCAUAACGUCGCAAGACCAAAGAGGGGGACCUUCGGGCCUCUUGCCAUCGGAUGUGCCCAGAUGGGAUUAGCUAGUAGGUGGGGUAACGGCUCACCUAGGCGACGAUCCCUAGCUGGUCUGAGAGGAUGACCAGCCACACUGGAACUGAGACACGGUCCAGACUCCUACGGGGGGCAGCAGUGGGGAAUAUUGCACAAUGGGCGCAAGCCUGAUGCAGCCAUGCCGCGUGUAUGAAGAAGGCCUUCGGGUUGUAAAGUACUUUCAGCGGGGAGGAAGGGAGUAAAGUUAAUACCUUUGCUCAUUGACGUUACCCGCAGAAGAAGCACCGGCUAACUCCGUGCCAGCAGCCGCGGUAAUACGGAGGGUGCAAGCGUUAAUCGGAAUUACUGGGCGUAAAGCGCACGCAGGCGGUUUGUUAAGUCAGAUGUGAAAUCCCCGGGCUCAACCUGGGAACUGCAUCUGAUACUGGCAAGCUUGAGUCUCGUAGAGGGGGGUAGAAUUCCAGGUGUAGCGGUGAAAUGCGUAGAGAUCUGGAGGAAUACCG
This 654-nucleotide ribosomal RNA is filed under the name uncultured Enterobacterales bacterium. RNAcentral's name for it is "bacterial SSU rRNA". It matches the Rfam family "Bacterial small subunit ribosomal RNA", at positions 68 to 711 of the family's 1533-position model. Lineage: Bacteria; Pseudomonadati; Pseudomonadota; Gammaproteobacteria; Enterobacterales. The record is from RNAcentral.